AUUGAACGCUGGCGGCAGGCCUAACACAUGCAAGUCGAACGAGUGGCGGACGGGUGAGUAAUGUCUGGGAAACUGCCCGAUGGAGGGGGAUAACUACUGGAAACGGUAGCUAAUACCGCAUACCAUCGGAUGUGCCCAGAUGGGAUUAGCUAGUGGGUGGGGUAACGGCUUACCUGGGCGACGAUCCCUAGCUGGUCUGAGCGGAUGACCAGGCACACUGGAACGUAGACACGGUCCAGAUGCCUACGGGAGGCAGCAUGGGGGAAUAUUGCACAAUGGGCGCAAGCCUGAUGCAGCCAUGCCGCGUGUACGAAGAAGGCAUGCGGGUUGUAAAGUACUUUCAGCGAGGAGGCGUUACUCGCAGAAGAAGCACCGGCUAACUCCGUGCCAGCAGCCGCGGUAAUAC
RNAcentral lists this ribosomal RNA (406 nucleotides) under uncultured bacterium. RNAcentral describes it as "partial 16S ribosomal RNA". It matches the Rfam family "Bacterial small subunit ribosomal RNA", at positions 30 to 526 of the family's 1533-position model. The record is from RNAcentral.